CAAAAGUAAUAAAGAACGUAGAAAUAAAAUAGAUAAUUAAACUUUUAUCUACUUUCAUCUUCAAUUGAAACUCACUUUAAAGCUUCAAAGGUAAUUUGAUUUGAUGAUAAGCAUCGGAUCACUUUGGCAUUACAAAACUUUCAAUAAUUUGUAACAAAAUCCCCAAACAAUAAGCCUCGAAUCGAAGCCGAAGCAAUUCAAAAUCCUAAAAAUCAAACAUAGAGCAUAAUAAACUACUAAAAAAAAAAAAAAAACCAAUAAUUAAACAGUAAAUAUGUCAGGAAAAAAAAUGUAAAUAAUGGGUGAAUGGUGAUUUGGGGGAAGGAAUUGGGGGGGAAAACAUGUAAAUAACGGGAAGGAAUUGGGGGAAGAACUCAUGAAGGGUUUGCUCUUCUCUGAUUUCUCUAGCUACCGGUAUAAUUGACGAGAAGGAAACCGAAAAUGAGACCGAUUCGGGAAAGUGUUGCUGGUCGCUGGAGACUCCAUUGCCUCUGUCGGUCUGCCCUCUGCUGUGCUUGUAGUGGACUGGAAGAGAUCUUAUGGUCUAUAAUGGGUGAAUGUUGAUUUGGGCUUUUUAAUUUGGGCCCGAUUUAAAAAAAAUAGUGGCCCAACACAGCAACACUCCAACAGCCAACACAACAACCAACUGCAAAGGAAUCCAGCUAGGGCGGCGAAGUCAUCUGAGACUUACCACUGAGAGGUGCUCAGCGACCGGCGAUUCCGGCGAAUCCAGCUAGGGAGGCCGCCCUAGCUAGCUAGUACCUGCAUCCGCCACUGUAUGUGGAUAAGUAAAAAAAAUAAAUCUUACAUCUGUUAAAUAUCGAAAUAUUAAUUAACAUAUAAAAG
Molecule: long non-coding RNA, 846 nt
Filed under: Olea europaea subsp. europaea
Lineage: Eukaryota; Viridiplantae; Streptophyta; Magnoliopsida; Lamiales; Oleaceae
Source: RNAcentral